AUAGAUCGGUUGAUCGAUCACGAACUGGCACCUCGCCUGUAUUGUUCGCAUACGACACCCAUCGACCAGAUCGUGAGACGAACCGCAAGGCUGCCGCGACGAAUCCCUCGCUCCCUGCGAGGCUGCGGCCCUGCAUCCCUUCUGCAGUACAGCUUUCUGUUGUGAUUUCUAAACCUGAAGAAGUAGGCAGUGGGCAACAACCAACAACAACAGCUCGCAUUGAAUCAGGUUCAAAGCCACGAGCACAAGUUGAAUUGAAGGUAUAAUUGCUAAUUAGAUGUACUAAUGCAUCGAUUUCUGGAAUUGGGAUAUGCCUUCUCAUGCCGAUUCUUAGUGGCACUGACAUCUGAAUUCAUCCCAUCAAAAAAUAAUAUCUGAAUUCAUCUAUGACUGCAGGUACAGAUACGGUUCCUUCUUGCUGUCCAGCAGGCUGUUGCAUGAGCAGAGUUUGAGCUCCUGAUUAAGUUAUUUUCACCACUUGUCUUUCUUAUUUAAUUAUAGUGAAAUUAGAGACUAGUUUGCAGUCAAUUAUGUAUUGUGUAGACAUAAGAAUUUGCACUUUUCUGUACAAGUUUGUAAUGAG
Molecule: long non-coding RNA, 583 nt
Filed under: Hordeum vulgare
Lineage: Eukaryota; Viridiplantae; Streptophyta; Magnoliopsida; Poales; Poaceae
Description: long non-coding RNA (HVUL_LNC017206)
Source: RNAcentral